CGAAGGGUGCAAGCGUUACUCGGAAUUACUGGGCGUAAAGCGUGCGUAGGUGGUUUGUUAAGUCAGAUGUGAAAGCCCUGGGCUCAACCUGGGAACUGCAUUUGAUACUGGCAGGCUAGAGUGCGGUAGAGGGGUGCGGAAUUCCUGGUGUAGCAGUGAAAUGCGUAGAGAUCAGGAGGAACAUCCGUGGCGAAGGCGGCACCCUGGGCCAGCACUGACACUGAGGCACGAAAGCGUGGGAGCAAACAGGAUU
Molecule: ribosomal RNA, 253 nt
Filed under: uncultured bacterium
Lineage: Bacteria
Description: partial 16S ribosomal RNA
Rfam family: Bacterial small subunit ribosomal RNA
Source: RNAcentral